This 432-nucleotide ribosomal RNA is filed under the name Bacteroidetes bacterium SCGC AAA027-O02. Its description in RNAcentral is "bacterial SSU rRNA". It matches the Rfam family "Bacterial small subunit ribosomal RNA", at positions 354 to 783 of the family's 1533-position model. Lineage: Bacteria; Pseudomonadati; Bacteroidota. The record is from RNAcentral.
GUAGGGAAUAUUGGGCAAUGGACGCAAGUCUGACCCAGCCAUGCCGCGUGCAGGAUGAAGGCGUUAUGCGUUGUAAACUGCUUUUAUACAGGAAGAAACGACUCUUGCGAGAGGCAUUGACGGUACUGUAUGAAUAAGCACCGGCUAACUCCGUGCCAGCAGCCGCGGUAAUACGGAGGGUGCAAGCGUUGUCCGGAUUUAUUGGGUUUAAAGGGUGCGCAGGUGGUUUAUUAAGUCAGUGGUGAAAGACGGUCGCUCAACGAUUGCAGUGCCAUUGAAACUGGGUAGACUUGAGUAAAGUAGAGGUGGGCGGAAUUGAUAGUGUAGCGGUGAAAUGCAUAGAUAUUAUCAAGAACUCCAAUUGCGUAGGCAGCUCACUUGGCUUUUACUGACACUCAUGCACGAAAGUGUGGGUAUCAAACAGGAUUAGAU